UUUAGAGCUUCAAAAUAUUCAAAAUGGCCGCCGCCUGGCGUAUUGGUGAUAGUGGGUAGUGUUGUGACAACGAUCCCGAUGAUAAUUCUUAUUCUCAGGGAUUUGAUAAUAUCUUCAGCUGAAGGCUUCAUGUGAUCUGCGUGCUUGUGACAGCGAUAAAAUGGUCCAAUUCAAGCUGUCUUCCAAAACCAUGGAAAUACUGUUUGCAAGAACGCCAAUAUGUUCCAUCGGGAUAUUCGGCCACAUCAUCAACAACCACAGGCUAUUCAAAAUAUCUAUGCAUCACCUAUUUAUGUGCCAGUUCCCGAUUCACUACCUUCACAAAUCAAUCAACCGCAGCCAGUGGAACGUUAGGAUUCAAAAGAAGAGUUUCUCAGUUGGAAGAUCUAUAGUGGAUGCUGGAACUACAGAAGAAGAUUCAGGAAUUGGAGUUUAGUUUGGAGGAAGCCAAAGCCAAACAGGCUGUUCCUCCCAGUGGAAUUAAGAGCCAGCAGAGCGUCAACGACAAAUCGAUAUCUGCAGCUAUUUUUCACUGGAGCAAGAAACCAAAUUUUGUGUGUUCCUGAAAUUCUGAAUGAAAUCGAUCUUCUGCAAGUCCGAUUGAGCAAUGUGAUCGCCUCAACCGGAGCUGUCGUUGUCAACCGUCGUCGCAUUGGAAAGAUAACCGACAACUAUCAUGAGCCGAUUGGGCGUGGAAAAUUCGGUCAAGUCUUCAAAGGAACUUGGCAUGGAUGUCAAGCAGCCGUCAAAGAAAUCCGCUCUCCUCGGCGUUGCAGCACAGUCGUCGAGGCUCGAUCGUUCGCCAAGAUGAUUCAACGAGAGGUUGAAGCCCUUUCAGCUGUCCAGCACCGCAAUAUUAUUGGACUGCUCGGUCUUUGCAUGGAUAACGAAUCGAGUGAUGGUGAAGCAUCGAUUAGAGUCUCGCUCAUCUUUGAAUUCACCAACGGAGGGACUCUUUUCGACUGACUUUUCGGCGGCCUAGCAAAAAAUAGCAAAUUCAAAUUAGACGUGAAUCAAAUGAUGCUGACCGCUCGCCAUCUCACCGCGAGACUCUCCAUCUACUGCAUUCCACUCAGCAGAAGCCGGGCGGUUCAGUUAUGGUCCACCGUGACGUGAAAUCCGCCAAUGUUUUACUGCAACGGGAUGACGAAGGAAGAGUCGUGCGAGCUGUUUUGGACGAUUUAACGUCUUCAUUUGGAUCUUAACGAAAGUGGCUCCCGCUCUGGCCUAGCAGCCAGUUUCAUGACAGCCGUGGUAGGUACCCACGGCUAUGUCGAUCCUUUGUGUGCGGAGCGUUUAACCUGCAGACGGGUCGGCCAGUUUGCAUGUCCUUCACGCUUGAAGGUCGCGGGGAAUAUUACGUUAAACUGUCAAUGCGGUGGUGUAGAGGUUGGGUGAGAAUUGGACGUGUUGCAUCAUUAUCAAGCAGGUAUUCAAUAGCCGCAAGGCUCAGCCAUUUGGUAUUCAUUUUGAUAUUGCUUGUUGUAGACCCUUCCCCAGCAACGUCAACCUGUAGAAGGAAAGGCAAGUUUGCAUUUUCUUUACGCUCGAAGGUCACCGAGAUCUUAAAGUAAAACGUGUCAUGCGACGGCGAAGAGGUUGGGUGAGGACGACACGUGUUGCAUCAUUAUCAAGCAGGCAUUCAAUAGCCGCAAGGCUCAGCCAUUUGGUAUUCAUUUUGAUAUUGGUUGUUGUAGACCCUUCCCCAGCAACGUCAACCUAAAGAAGGAAAGGCAAGUUUCCAUUUUCUUCAAUUUCGAAGGUCACGGAGAUACCAUUACGUUAAACUUGUCAUGUGGAGUUAGAGGUUGGGUGAGAACGGGAAGUGUUGCACCAUUAUCAAGCAGGUACAAUAGCCGCAAGGCUUAAGAGGUUAGGGGUAGAAAAAAAAUCGUAUAAAAGGAGAGAGAAAAGGCGUUUGAAAUCAGUUGAGUGAGAAUCUCCGACCCGGCAACUGCUGUGUCCUAUUCGUCACUAAAUGCAUUUUUCAUUUUAAAAUCAUUACGCAAUAAGUAAAUAUCCUUUUAACUAUUUGUGCCGAUUUUUAUUGUUUUUUUUUCUUUUCAAUUGUUAAUAUGCCAUUUAUUGAAUAUAUUUAAUAUUCAAAUUGUUUAUUGUCUGUCGUAUUAAAGGAAAAAAAAAAGGCCAAAGAAAUCAGUCGAGUGAUCAUCUCCGACACUGCAAUAGCAACUGCAGUGCACUAUUGAUCAUCAAUUGAUUCUUCACUGUGUAAUCAGUUCGUAAUCAUGGGUAAAUAUUCAUUUUUAUUUUGAGUCAUGAAACAAUUCUAUGUCAUUCCUAGUUGAUAUGAUGAGCUAUAAUUGAAAUUAAUUUUUAAAUUGUUUAUUGUACAGUUAAUUAUGGCGUUGUGCUGCUGUUGGGUCGACCACGAGUGUACCGAUGUCUCCUGGAUACGGUGGCCCCGAGUUACUUCACCAAAGCGCCUGAGUACUACACUGAGGCUCCCAAGUACUACACCAUCAAAGCCCCAGAGUAUUACACUGCAAUCUACGCUGCCCCAGCUUACACCACCAAGGGACCGGAGUACUGCACCACAACCUACGCUGCCCCAGUUCACUACGCCGCCCUGAGCUACACAACCACAUCUGAGGCAGCCGUCAUUACUGCACAGCGGCUGCUUCUUAGUAACAACCUACGUUACACCUAGAUGCUACACCGAAGCCCCCAAGUACUGCACCGGCAAGGCCGAAUAUUACAUAACCACGUUUGCUGCCCCAGCUACCCUGCUACACCGAGAAACCCAAGUAUUUCUCUGCUCCAAGCAACUAUCGAACAGAGGCUCCUGUUGACUACACCACCCAUGCCCCGGGGUUUACAGUACAACCUACGCUGCCCCAUCUACACCAUCAAGGCUCCAAAGUACUACGCAACCGAGGCACCCGAGCUACUACUUAGGCUGCUCCGACUUUCUGCACCGAAGCUGCGAAAUAUUCCACUGCCCCGAGUUACUACACCAUCAAGGCUGUUACAAUGUUACAUCACAACCUACGCUUCUCCAGUUUACUAUAUAAUGGUGAAGCCAGAAAUGGAAACAGUCUAGUGCUGUUGUUUGGUGUAUCGUUGACGGUCGAGUCGUCCACUGGUGUACCGGUGCUCCUGGGUGUGGCAGAUACCAAACCGCAAUGCUACCGUCUUACUACACAACAAACAUACGCAACCAGUUACUACACCUAAAAGGCCGUAUGUUACACAAGGACGUAUGCUACACCAGUUUACUACACCGAGGAAUUCAAGUAUUACUCUUCCCCGAACAAAUACCAAACAGAGGCUCCUGUUUACUACACUACCAUCGCCCUCGAGUGUUACACUAAAACCUACGUUGCCCCCAACUACUACACUGUGGCUCCGAAGUGCUACACAUCAAUGCACAACCAAUUCGCAAUUGUUUAUUUUUACGUCGUGCUGCUGUUGGUUGUUCUAUCGUUGCUAACGUGUUGACCACUGUACCGAACUCCACCGACUUUGGUUAUUAACGACAAGAGAUGUAUGUCAAUAGGUGCAAUAGCCGUAAAGUUUAAAAUGUGAAACAGGAAAAGAAAAAAUCGGAAAAGAAGAGAGAAAAGGCGAUUUAUCAAUUGAAUGAGCAUCUCCUACCCGGCAGCAAUUGCAUUCUUCCAAUACUCAAUCAAAGGAGUACUACACCACCAAGGCAGCGGAGUACUACACCACCAAGGCAGCGGAGUACUACACCACCAAGGCAGCGGAGUACUACACCACCAAGGCAGCGGAGUACUACACCACCAAGGCAGCGGAGUACUACACCACCAAGGCAGCGGAGUACUACACCACCAGAGCAGCGGAGUACUACACCACUAAGGCAGCGGAGUACCCAGGCUGCUGAAUUGUGAAUUGUUUGUUUUAUGUUUUAGAGGUGACUACUGCCUUAUUCAUACGGACAUGUUCUUGUGGUUCGACGAUGAUAUUUCAAGGAUUAGUUACGAAAGACACUUGUAACUGUAGAUUUUAUCAAAUCUUAUAAGUAAUGGGGAAGUGGGUGACCUUUGUAAAAAUGAAAGACUUUGAAGUUGA
Molecule: long non-coding RNA, 4050 nt
Organism: Daphnia pulex (common water flea)
Lineage: Eukaryota; Metazoa; Arthropoda; Branchiopoda; Diplostraca; Daphniidae
Exons: 6
Source: RefSeq, a predicted model, not a curated record